This is a long non-coding RNA of Alosa sapidissima (American shad), 596 nucleotides long. RefSeq lists it as uncharacterized. NCBI's taxonomy places the organism in Eukaryota, Metazoa, Chordata, Actinopteri, Clupeiformes, Clupeidae. The record is from RefSeq and is a predicted model, not a curated record. The transcript is spliced from 3 exons.
AUGGUGUUCUGUGAGGCUCGUAGGAUGAAAGUUGCCGUCGCUGGCAGUAGGCUACUCUGGAGGACAGGAGCGUUUUCUUGUGCUUAUUUCACGCUGGGCAUCGCUGACGCGCCCUCCCUCCUCCACUCUGACCCCUCGGGCCUCUUGCCCAUAGCACAAACAAGGCCAAGAUCACAGCUGGCUGUCAGUAUGACAGCCUGACCACUGUUUUCCCCUGAUUAAAUUUAGUUUGUGUUUUUUUGAUUGUAUGCUCCCUAGUGGUGACCUGCUCUGUCCUUAGCCCAUUAUUGUGCCUUCCAACGCCAAGUAGCGGCGCUAGGUUGGUUUAUGGUCAGGUUGAGUUAGUUGGUUGUUCAUCCCCAGUUUGUUUGUUUUCUGCUUUUCCCUUCUCCUACCCUGUCGGCACUGGCCUAGUCGGCCAGUGUUUUUGAGCAGCCCUCUUAACCAUCCGCUCGAGGGCUGCCUCAGUUAAUGUUCCCCUCCUGAUUUUUCUCCCUUUUACUGGUUUGAGUUUUAUUAUUUUUAUUUGUCUCCUCUUGUCUCCUUGCCCCUCCUAGCUGUGACCAAUUGUAAUUUUGCUAGAUAGCCAAUGCCUG